AAGAAAUUAAAAUUUGGUAAAAAAAAAUAAUAAAUAACGAUCUUUAAACUUCGGUUAGCUUCAGAUAAAUAUAAAAAUAAAAAAUUCCACCAUACCUACUUAGGCUUGCAUUUUCCAACGCUCCCUUGAAAAAAUAUAAAAAUAAAAAUCUAAAGCGCUUUUCACUCUUUUCCUCUCUGUUUCUUCCCCUCUCCUCGGAGAGUGUUUUCUUUCAAGGAAAAAGAAACCAUGUUUUAAUUUACAUAAAAAGACUUUGAGUUUGUCCAGCUUGUAAAAAGUUUAAUGAAGAGAUCUUUGAUGAAUUCUUUUCAAGCAAAUUCUUUUCAAGCAAAAAUAAUCCCAUUGAACCAACAUGGAAGAUGACAAAGACGAUAUUUUAGCAUUCUUUCUCAUUUUUCGAUCUUUAAUUCUUUUUUUAAUGCACAAAUGCCUGUAGCAGAGCCCACUUCCGGACGCUUAUUUAUAUGGCUUAUCUCUUGUUUCUUGUUUACCUGCGUUACUGUUGGUGGAAUCUUCCUCCUUUUGUACAUUGUCCUCCCUCAGAAGCAAGCUAAACCUUGGCUUCCAAUUGUUGGUGUAACCCUUGUUUGUCUCCCUUGGAUUUUUUGGUGCUUUACUUGUCUUUAUCGUAUCAUUUCUCGAGCACUUGGAAUUAGGGUUGUUAUCCGUUGUGGCGGCGGCGGUGGUGAUGGUGGUAGUAGCGCUCGUACUCGUUCAAAUGUUUCUAAUACAUCAAGGAAUGUAGCAUCCCAUGAGCCUGCAAACCUUAACUCUCCAUUAGAGCCUGUUGAAGAAGAAGAUGGAAGGGGCGUCCAAUUUGGAGGGGCAGCAGUUUUGGGAGAGGGCGAUGAUGACCAUGAAAAGAAGAAUGCAAAUUUGAGGAGUUUAUCGACUAGCAUUUCAAGCAAUGAUUUGUCCGUUGCUUCUCGUGAAAGCGAAAUGCCUUUAACCCAAGCUAUGGCAUCCUAAUGAUAUGUCACUUUGAAAUUGAAGAAACUCUCUCAAUCCAUGAAUAAGGAAACCAUUCUUUUCAUUUGCCCAUUCUCUUAGGCCUUCAUCCAUUAAAUUAUAAAAAAAUUUGAUGUAUACACAUACACAUUUUUCUAUUAUCAGACAGAAUAUAGAAAAUUUUUACCCAUCCAAAGUAUUAAUUGUCUUCAGAGAUCAUCAAUUCCAUUUCUUAUUUACUAGGUUAUACAGUAGAUCAUUUCAUAACAAGUUCAAAUAUGAUUUUCUUUUUCCUUUUUGGGGUAGCAUUAGCAAUAGAAAAG
Molecule: unclassified non-coding RNA, 1271 nt
Filed under: Hevea brasiliensis (rubber tree)
Lineage: Eukaryota; Viridiplantae; Streptophyta; Magnoliopsida; Malpighiales; Euphorbiaceae
Source: RNAcentral